GCGCCUGUAGCUCAAUUGGAUAGAGCAUCUGCCUUCGGAGCAGAGGGUUGCAGGUUCAAGUCCUGCCAGGCGCGC
This 75-nucleotide transfer RNA is filed under the name Candidatus Omnitrophica bacterium ADurb.Bin277. Its description in RNAcentral is "tRNA-Arg". It matches the Rfam family "tRNA". From Rfam's summary of the family: Transfer RNA (tRNA) molecules are approximately 80 nucleotides in length. Their secondary structure includes four short double-helical elements and three loops (D, anti-codon, and T loops). The record is from RNAcentral. Lineage: Bacteria; Pseudomonadati; Candidatus Omnitrophota.